GCCGGGCGCGGUGGCGCACGCCUGUAGUCCCAGCUACUCGGGAGGCUGAGACAGGAGGAUCGCUUGAGUCCAGGAGUUCUGGGCUGUAGUACGCUAUGCCGAUCGGGUGUCCGCACUAAGUUCGGCAUCAAUAUGGUGACCUCCCGGGAGCGGGGGACCACCAGGUUGCCUAAGGAGCGGUGAACCGGCCCAGGUCGGAAACGGAGCAGGUCAAAAAUGGGCAGAGUGGUGCAGGGCCAUUUAGUGAGUCUCUCUCUCUCUCUCUCUUUCUCUCUCUCUCUCUCUCUC
Molecule: unclassified non-coding RNA, 288 nt
Rfam family: Metazoan signal recognition particle RNA
About the family: The signal recognition particle (SRP) is a universally conserved ribonucleoprotein. It is involved in the co-translational targeting of proteins to membranes.
Source: Ensembl